GAGUUUGAUUCUGGCUCAGAGUGAACGCUGGCGGCGUGCCUAAUACAUGCAAGUCGAACGGAGAUUAAAGUAAGCUUGCUUAUUUUAAUCUUAGUGGCGCACGGGUGAGUAAUGUAUAGCUAAUCUGCCCUACACUAGAGGACAACAGUUGGAAACGACUGCUAAUACUCUAUACUCCUUCUUUACAUAAGUUAAGUCGGGAAAGUUUUUCGGUGUAGGAUGAGGCUAUAUCGUAUCAGCUAGUUGGUGAGGUAAUGGCUCACCAAGGCUAUGACGCGUAACUGGUCUGAGAGGAUGAUCAGUCACACUGGAACUGAGACACGGUCCAGACUCCUACGGGAGGCAGCAGUAGGGAAUAUUGCUCAAUGGGGGAAACCCUGAAGCAGCAACGCCGCGUGGAGGAUGACACUUUUCGGAGCGUAAACUCCUUUUCUUGGGAAAGAAUUAUGACGG
This 453-nucleotide ribosomal RNA is filed under the name Campylobacter sp. canine oral taxon 011. RNAcentral describes it as "bacterial SSU rRNA". It matches the Rfam family "Bacterial small subunit ribosomal RNA", at positions 9 to 475 of the family's 1533-position model. The record is from RNAcentral. Lineage: Bacteria; Pseudomonadati; Campylobacterota; Epsilonproteobacteria; Campylobacterales; Campylobacteraceae.